Molecule: ribosomal RNA, 376 nt
Filed under: uncultured eukaryote
Lineage: Eukaryota
Description: partial 18S ribosomal RNA
Rfam family: Eukaryotic small subunit ribosomal RNA
Source: RNAcentral
CAAUAGCGUAUAUUAACUUUGUUGCAGUUAAAAAGCUCGUAGUUGAAUUUUUGGUCGCGUCUUUUGAUUCGCACUUGUGUGUUUUUGGAAGCGCGACCAUUUGCAUGCAGAUGGUCCGUGGCAUUAGGUUGUCGCGGAUCGGAGGCAUGCCGUUUACUGUGAAAAAAUUAGAGUGUUCAAAGCAGGCUUACGCCGUUGAAUAUAUUAGCAUGGAAUAAUGAGAUAGGACCUUGGUGCUAUUUUGUUGGUUUGCGCGCCGUGGUAAUGAUUAACAGGAACGGUUGGGGGUCUUCGUAUUCCAUUGUCAGAGGUGAAAUUCUUGGAUUUCUGGAAGACGAACUACUGCGAAAGCAUUGACCAAGGAUGUUUUCAUUAA